UUCCUAAGUUUUUGCUUUUUCCAGUAAUUCUUCAUAUUCUGCACUUCCUUCCGAGGUACACUCGAUCCUCUGAUGCCACCUAGGGGGCACCUGCAAGAUUAGGAUCUCCGUGUUUUCCCUGCUUCUAUGAACAGAGCACCUUUUCCACAGUGGGCUGUGGAAUGUUUGAAACCCUUAGCAUCAUUUGGUUUUCAAAAUCCUAACUUUGUGGUGGUUUAGCCAACCUCUCCCUGCUGCUUACUUUUCUUCUCCAUUGCUGUUUGAAGGGCUGGAGGCAUGUCAGCUGGCUUGCUUUUCCUAAAUAACCCCCAGGGUAGGACCAUUGUCACCACCACUGGCUUCCUCUUCCCUAGCUUUUGAAAGCCGGGAGGGACAGUCAAGUAAUUUGCUCUGUUGAGCGGGAGGCCAACCCUUUGCUCUGUGACUUGCCAUCUCCUAAUUGUUUCUUUUGAGCGCCUCUCUUUCCCUCUGGUCUCUGAGUUACUGUCCUCUUUGAUGGGCUCCUUUCAGCAUGAUGACCGCCAAAAUGAAAGUUGAUUUUUAAAGCUGGACUGAGCAGACCAGCAGCAGGGAGGGCUGUGGAGGAGACUCUGUUCAUAUCUUCUUUUUCACUGUAUUAGUUGAUAACAGAGAACUUCAACCUAAAUUUGUUUUGAGACUUAGAAAUGGAGAAAUAAUGUGAUGUGUUAUUCUGAACAACCAAAUAAAAACUGAGUAUGGACGUAUACAUUAUUGUAUAAUGUAGUAUAGGAGUUCUGACUGGCAUUCUGGGAUCCUUGCUUUGGUGAGGUCAUUCAUCAUGGUAGGAACGUGAAGUUGAGCACAAACCCCUUCCCAUGCUCGAAACAGGAUGAGGCUAGGGCCUCGCUGCCCUCUUCAGGAGCAGUGAUGUAAAGACAGCUCAUUGAGCCCCAUCUCUCAGGUUCCACUAGUUCUCCAUAGGGCUAAGGUGGGUAAAGUAUUAAACCCACAGACCUCUGGGACGUGCUGACCCUAACCACAGCACAAUUGAAUCUGUGUUUGAAGGAGCCAGUGCUGAGCCAGCAAGCCCGUUCUGUAGUCAUUAUCUCCAUAGAUGUGCGGGUCUCUGUGUCCACCAUGGCUAGCAGAGUAAUGAUCUGUGGGAGGCAAGAAGUUAGUUCAGCUCAAAACGAUUCAGUGGCUAGUGUUGCUUCAAACUUUAAGAGUCUAACCCCAAAUAGUUUAUUUUAGGCAUGUUUAAGUCUAGUGUAACUUGGUGAAAAUUUUUCCGAUAAUAACUCAAUCUGUGCGCACCAUAAAGCUUAAGGAAUGAGUACAUCAGAACUCUCUGUAAUGUAUAGGUGACAUAUUACAUAAAGUUGGGUUCUAUAGGUUGACUACAUGUGACAUCUUCCAUAAAGAUGGGUUCUAUAGGCUGAGAAGCUCAUGAUAAGGGCCCAGGGCUUCCCCUAGCACUUAAUCUGGGAACACAAGAACCUCUGUGCCUCCCACACAUAGACAUUACUUAAAAUACAAUAACUAAAUAUAAAAUCCUAACUCAUGUAAAACAAGUGAGCUACUUACAUACCUAUUUGCACGUGUGUAUACAUAUAGUGUAUAUGAAUUCCUUUUGUGAUAUCUUUUGACUUGUGUGUAUAUGUUCAUGUAGGUACAAGAGCAUAUGGAGGCCACAAAAGGGCUUUGGAACCCUUGUAGCUGAAGUUAAACUAUCGGUGGUUGUAAGCCAUGUAACAUGGGUGCUGGGAACUGAACUGUGGUCCUCUUCAAGGACAAUAGGAACACUUCACGACUGAACCAUCUUUUCAGUGCCUUUGAAUCCUGUGUUAAGGGCUGGUGUUAUGGGGAGCCCACCAGAGAUGAUCACUCAACCACGUUUCUUAGCCAACUGAAAGUCUUGAUUCCGGCUGGCUGGGACUAUACACAGGGAUUUGGAUCACCAUGAAACCCUCAGCAUUUAGAUCAAGGGGAUUUUAAAGGGGAAAAGUGCAUCCUGUUAUCGUCCUCAGCAGCUGAAGGGGAAGUUUGUACAAGCAAGCAGCUUAACAGAAGCUAAGCUAAGUUGGCUGGGGCAUUUUGGUCUCAGGUCCUAGAACAGAGUUGGAUUAUUUUCCACGGGAUUCUAAAUCAAGGAGAUCAAAUUCUGGGUAAACAUG
RNAcentral lists this long non-coding RNA (2135 nucleotides) under Mus musculus (house mouse). RNAcentral describes it as "long non-coding RNA chr13:20271904-20274039". The record is from RNAcentral. Lineage: Eukaryota; Metazoa; Chordata; Mammalia; Rodentia; Muridae.